GGCUUACAGCUAGCCACUUUGAAGGUUCCCAGAGAGCUUGUUUAAAUCUCUUAUGAGUACUUAUUCAUUGGACGGGAUAAAAUCUAUCCAAUGGGGGAAGACUCAUGAAAGGGAUGUCUUAAAUUAUUUGAAAAAUAAUUUAAACAUCAAUGCUGUGCCAACAAGAAUUUGGAUGUCUAAAUCACGACUCUUUGGAGUUUCUAGUUCUCAGUUCUAGACACAGUUAGAGAGGUUCUUGCUAAAGACGACAAAAAAAGAGCCGGUUUGCAAUGAAAGUAAGCUUAUAGAAUUGUAGUAGUCAGAACAACUAUGUAAACAGAUAAAUUAUAAUAACCUAGCUUUGACUAAAAAUUAAAUGAUUGUCUUAUGUUGUUCGUUUA
Long non-coding RNA from Dendroctonus ponderosae (mountain pine beetle), 380 nucleotides. RefSeq lists it as uncharacterized. The record is from RefSeq and is a predicted model, not a curated record. Lineage: Eukaryota; Metazoa; Arthropoda; Insecta; Coleoptera; Curculionidae. The transcript has 2 exons.